Plutella xylostella (diamondback moth) is the source of this 1325-nucleotide non-coding RNA. The record is from RefSeq and is a predicted model, not a curated record. NCBI's taxonomy places the organism in Eukaryota, Metazoa, Arthropoda, Insecta, Lepidoptera, Plutellidae.
AUAAGUGGCUCUUGUAUCGAUUAGAUACGAACAGCUAAAUAUUGAUUUAAUCUUAAGCAAUAACCACCGUAUAAAAAAGAGUCGCGUGAAAAAAAACUCAACAAACGAAGGCAAUAAAUCUUUGAGCAUUAAAUUAUCUUGGCAGUCUUUAAGGGUUUAAGCAAGAUGAAUUUCGCUAAGAUAUUUUACUUCUUCUUCACGGUUGUCAUGGCCAUAUGCUGUGUUUCAGCGGCUCCCAGGUGGAAAGGAUUUAAGAAAAUUGAGAAGCUAGGACAACACAUCCGGGAUGGAGUCAUCAAAGCGGGCCCCGCGGUUGGUGUUGUCGGACAAGCAUCCAGCAUAUUGGGAUAAACAAUAAUACCAAUAUACUAUACAAACAAUAAAAAUAACAAUAAUACAAUAAAUACCAAUAAAGGUAAGCGUACACCUUCCGGCAUCGUACGCAACGGGCGCAACGCAUUCAGUAUUAGGGUCAAUUUAUACUAGUACAGAGUCGAAGCGCAUCGAAGCGUCUAUUCAAUACUGAACAUUACAAAUACAACAUUAACUCCACAGCAUAACGUACACAUUGCUACUGAGAUUUUAAAAAGUCGCGCACAUUCUUCGCGAUUCGCGCGUCUACGCGUGACCAACGCAACCAACCAUUCGUGCGGCUUUGCUUUAGUUGUGAAGAAUUUGACGCUUCGCUGCGCUUCGACUCUGCCCCAGUAUAAAUUGACCCUUAUUUGUAGAUUUAAAUUCACACAAGUGCGUCCACUUCAUCGACAUUGCCGACGCCGUUCCUCCAUACAUUUAUGACAAUCCGUUUUGUGUGAUACGUACGAAACCGAUAAGUGGACGCUUACCUUUAGGCCAAGCUAAGACAGACCGGCUCGGAGAACAGAACAGAAUUUUACAGCGAUGAUGGUAAUAGAACCUUGGCCGCCUGCAAUAUUGAAGUAAGUACAGUUAAUGACGCAUGGUCGGCAACCAAAAACGUAAAAAUUGUGUUAAAAUUGUUUAUGUAUGUUAUUGUAUUAAAAAAAUUAAGCCUAUUAUAAUUUUUGAAAUGGAACUUUUUCAUUCAUGGCGAGUGUAGUGCAUUGUGCAUGAAACAACAUUUGUUUGUGGUUUUAAUGUAUUAUAAUCAGAUAUUAAAAAUAUACCUAGUUUAGGUAUAUGUUUAUUGUCACAGUCAGCACAUAAUUAUGUAUAUUAUGUAAAUACCUACUUGUAUCAUCGCCAGCAUCGUAUCUUCAGGCUCAAUUGGUUAUUCCCAAUAACUUAAGUAGAAAUUUGGCAAAAAUAUGAAUAAGUAAAUAUAUUAAUAAAAUGUACAAAUCUGA